Molecule: long non-coding RNA, 711 nt
Organism: Alligator mississippiensis (American alligator)
Lineage: Eukaryota; Metazoa; Chordata; Crocodylia; Alligatoridae
Exons: 4
Source: RefSeq, a predicted model, not a curated record
UUGGCUGCAGGAGGUCAGGCAGCAACAUUGCCUGGCUGUAGGGCUGCUGUGAGCGACCUGGAGGGUUCCUGCUCCCACUCCCCCAUUGGCAUCCCACUGAACACCUUCUUCCUGCAGACACAUGAAGUGAGGCAUGAUGCUUCCAUAAUACACAGGUGUGGAGGAAUUAAAUUUCCCUAUUAUGCUGCAUCAGCCCAACUGCGAGGUAUUUCUACUCACCUUCAUCCAUCUGACUAGUCUUGGCUGAGUCUUACAUUUUAAUAUGGAUGAUCUCUACACUCAUGCUGCACAUGGACUCUAUAAAAAUACAACAUAGUGUCACCUCAGAUGUGCUUCUUUUGAUUGUACCAAUGUUAAGCCAAGAAUGAAAGUGGUCCAGUGUGUUUGUCUCAUACAACAUUAUUUAUUUUAGGGUAUUCUUCAUUAAUAUGUUUUUAAAAUAAACAGGAAACAAUGUUCCUCUCUGUGAUUAUUCCUUUGUUAUGUUUCCCUUUCAUUUGUCCGGUAUGGUUUGUAGUAAAUGCAUCAUACUCUCUGUUAUGUAUGCAUCUUUUCCUCAGAUUAUCUACCUUACUUGAAAGGAAUUAUUCAUUCUCAGCUAAACACAGUCUCUGGGUUUGACAGGUUACAAGAAAUAUUCUUUAUAGUUAUGUAAAUUCAGAAUGACACUAUCAUCUUUAACAGAAUUGUUCAUAAUUUAUCACAGUGUAA